RNAcentral lists this ribosomal RNA (118 nucleotides) under Eubacterium sp. The record is from RNAcentral. Lineage: Bacteria; Bacillati; Bacillota; Clostridia; Eubacteriales; Eubacteriaceae. RNAcentral also lists the same sequence under 2 other names.
UCCGGUGGCGAUGCGCUUAGGGGAAACACCCGUACACAUCCCGAACACGAUGGUUAAGACCUAAGCGGCCUAUGGUACUAUGCUGGAGACGGCAUGGGAGAGCGGGUGGCUGCCGGAU